CUCUUAGAUGUUCUGGGCUGCACGCGCGCUACACUGAUGCACUCAACGAGUUUACGACCUUGCCCGAUAGGGUUGGGUAAUCUUUUUAAAAUGCAUCGUGAUGGGGAUAGAUUAUUGCAAUUAUUAAUCUUCAACGAGGAAUUCCUAGUAAGCGCGAGUCAUCAGCUCGUGCUGAUUACGUCCCUGCCCUUUGUACACACCGCCCGUCGCUCCUACCGAUUGAGUGCUCAGGUGAAUAAUUCGGACUGCAGCAAUGUUUGGAUCCCGAACGUUGCAGCGGAAAGUUUAGUGAACCUUAUCACUUAGAGGAAGGAGAAGUCGUAACA
RNAcentral lists this ribosomal RNA (326 nucleotides) under uncultured eukaryote. Its description in RNAcentral is "partial 18S ribosomal RNA". It matches the Rfam family "Eukaryotic small subunit ribosomal RNA", at positions 1470 to 1796 of the family's 1831-position model. The record is from RNAcentral.